CUCCACUAUCAGUCUUGCAGCCACAAAGCCAGGGCUGUGUUUGCCCGGCUCUGCUGCACCCUUGCCACAGCUACAUUCAGUAUGAGCCCUCCACCAGGAUGUUUCUGCCUUGGAGCCAGACAACCAUGGACUGAAACUUCUGAAACCAUGAGUCAAAUAAACCUCUCCUCCUUCAAGUUGCAGGUAUCAGAAACUAUUGGGGAUUCUGAAGUGAAAACCACUGAAAGUAUGAAGAAAACUACUACGACUGGACUUCCAGGAUUUUUAGCUCUCAAGCUGGUCCACAUUCAGCCUCUAACAAUUCAUUAAAAGUGUUUUUUCUGUUUUCCCCUCAGUAUCCACUUUUGAUGACUUCUGUUCCUGGUGUGGGAGUCUCAGCUGUCAUUCUUUGUGUUUAUUCAUCUUUCCAAAUUUCAAUGACAGUUUUCCCUGUGACUUCAGUUCUUUAAUGAGUCUAAUAAAAG
Long non-coding RNA from Heterocephalus glaber (naked mole-rat), 464 nucleotides. Lineage: Eukaryota; Metazoa; Chordata; Mammalia; Rodentia; Bathyergidae. The record is from Ensembl.